Molecule: ribosomal RNA, 496 nt
Filed under: uncultured bacterium
Lineage: Bacteria
Description: partial 16S ribosomal RNA
Rfam family: Bacterial small subunit ribosomal RNA
Source: RNAcentral
AUGAACGCUGGCGGCGUGCCUAAUACCUGCAAGUCGCGCGAACAGACGAGGAGCUUUCUCCUCUGACGUUAGCGGCGGACGGGUGAGUAACACGUGGAUAACCUACCUAUAAGACUGGGAUAACUUCGGGAAACCGGAGCUAAUACCGGAUAAUAUAUUUAAACGCAUGGUUCAAUAGUGAAAGACGGUUUUGCUGUCACUUAUAGAUGGAUCCGCGCCGCAUUAGCUAGUUGGUAAGGUAACGGCUUACCAAGGCAACGAUGCGUAGCCGACCUGAGAGGGUGAUCGGCCACACUGGAACUGAGACACGGUCCAGACUCCUACGGGAGGCAGCAGUAGGGAAUCUUCCGCAAUGGGCGAAAGCUUGACGGAGCAACGCCGCGUGAGUGAUGAAGGUCUUCGGAUCGUAAAACUCUGUUAUUAGGGAAGAACAAAUGUGUAAGUAACUAUGCACGUCUUGACGGUACCUAAUCAGAAAGCCACGGCUAACUACGUG